UUACACAGAGAAACCAUCUUGAAAAACCAAAACAAAAGAAAGAAAAAAAAAGUCUGAUCUCGGAAGUUAAAGAGUUGAACCUGCUUAGUACUUGGAUGAAAGACUACCUGGGAAUACCAGGUUCUGUAGGCU
Molecule: ribosomal RNA, 132 nt
Filed under: Mesocricetus auratus (golden hamster)
Lineage: Eukaryota; Metazoa; Chordata; Mammalia; Rodentia; Cricetidae
Source: RNAcentral